Molecule: non-coding RNA, 31 nt
Filed under: Prorocentrum micans
Lineage: Eukaryota; Dinophyceae; Prorocentrales; Prorocentraceae
Source: RNAcentral
UUUUUUUUUUUUUUUUUUUUUUUUUUCUCUU